CCUACGGGCGGCAGCAGUGGGGGAUAUUGCACAAUGGGGGAAACCCUGAUGCAGCGACGCCGCGUGAGUGAAGAAGUAUUUCGGUAUGUAAAGCUCUAUCAGCAGGGAAGAAAAUGACAGUACCUGACCAAGAAGCCCCGGCUAACUACGUACCAGCAGCCGCGGGAAUACGUAGGGGGCAAGGGUUAUCCGGAUUUACUGGGUUUAAAGGGUGCGCAGGCGGGCCUUUAAGCCGGCGGUGAAAUCGCGGGGCUCAACCCCGCCGAGCCGUGGGAACUGGGGGCCUUGAGUGCGGCGGAGGCAUGCGGAAGGCGCGGUGUAGCGGUGAAAUGCAUAGAUAGCGCGCAGAACCCCGAUUGCGAAGGCAGCGUGCCGUGCCGCCACUGACGCUGAGGCACGAAAGCGCGGGGAUCGAACAGGAUUAGAUACCCCUGUAGUC
RNAcentral lists this ribosomal RNA (439 nucleotides) under uncultured bacterium. RNAcentral describes it as "partial 16S ribosomal RNA". It matches the Rfam family "Bacterial small subunit ribosomal RNA", at positions 338 to 795 of the family's 1533-position model. The record is from RNAcentral.